This 502-nucleotide ribosomal RNA is filed under the name uncultured bacterium. Its description in RNAcentral is "partial 16S ribosomal RNA". It matches the Rfam family "Bacterial small subunit ribosomal RNA", at positions 28 to 507 of the family's 1533-position model. The record is from RNAcentral.
GACGAACGCUGGCGGCGUGCCUAAUACACGCAAGUCGAACGAACCGCGACUGAGUGCUUGCACUUGGUCAAGGUGAGUGGCGAACGGGUGAGUAACACGUGGGUAACCUACCUCAUAGUGGGGGAUAACAGUCGGAAACGACUGCUAAUACCGCAUAGGACAUGGAAUCACAUGAUUCUGUGAGGAAAGGUGGCGCAAGCUAUCGCUAAGAGAUGGACCCGCGGUGCAUUAGCUAGUUGGUAGGGUAAGGGCCUACCAAGGCGAUGAUGCAUAGCCGACCUGAGAGGGUGAUCGGCCACAUUGGGACUGAGACACGGCCCAAACUCCUACGGGAGGCAGCAGUAGGGAAUCUUCCGCAAUGGACGCAAGUCUGACGGAGCAACGCCGCGUGAGUGAAGAAGGUCUUCGGAUCGUAAAGCUCUGUUGUUAGAGAAGAACAGCGCAUAGAGUAACUGUUAUGCGUGUGACGGUAUCUAACCAGAAAGCCACGGCUAACUACGUG